GGGACUGUAGCUUAAUGGUAGAGUGCGCUGUUUUUCAUCUGGGUUUCCUUUUGGAAUGCGCGAUUUGCGGUUCGACUCCCAACGGUCCCA
Non-coding RNA from Serendipita sp. 399, 90 nucleotides. The record is from the annotation of a GenBank genome assembly. NCBI's taxonomy places the organism in Eukaryota, Fungi, Basidiomycota, Agaricomycetes, Sebacinales, Serendipitaceae.